GCUAUACACAAUCCAACAACUUGGGAGGUGCAGCAACAACUUUAGGCUGCAGCAGCACAAGAGAAAUGGUCCAGCAAGGGGCCCAAUGGCAAUCNACUUUGCAGGUCCAAUUUCCACAUCCAGCAACAGGGAAUAGGUUUUUCAUAUUUAUUAUAGCAUCAGCCUCCACCAGGAGAUUCCUUGGGGAGGAGGUUACGUCCACAAUGGAGGGUUACGACUGAGGAUGGGAUGGAUUUAUUUCUUUUAGAAGUUGUGCAC
This 258-nucleotide long non-coding RNA is filed under the name Vigna radiata. Its description in RNAcentral is "long non-coding RNA (VRAD_LNC008061)". Lineage: Eukaryota; Viridiplantae; Streptophyta; Magnoliopsida; Fabales; Fabaceae. The record is from RNAcentral.